Molecule: ribosomal RNA, 3006 nt
Filed under: Salmonella enterica subsp. enterica serovar Heidelberg
Lineage: Bacteria; Pseudomonadati; Pseudomonadota; Gammaproteobacteria; Enterobacterales; Enterobacteriaceae
Description: 23S ribosomal RNA
Rfam family: Bacterial large subunit ribosomal RNA
Source: RNAcentral
GGUUAAGCGACUAAGCGUACACGGUGGAUGCCCUGGCAGUCAGAGGCGAUGAAGGACGUGCUAAUCUGCGAUAAGCGCCGGUAAGGUGAUAUGAACCGUUAUAACCGGCGAUACCCGAAUGGGGAAACCCAGUGUGACUCGUCACACUAUCAUUAACUGAAUCCAUAGGUUAAUGAGGCGAACCGGGGGAACUGAAACAUCUAAGUACCCCGAGGAAAAGAAAUCAACCGAGAUUCCCCCAGUAGCGGCGAGCGAACGGGGAGGAGCCCAGAGCCUGAAUCAGCAUGUGUGUUAGUGGAAGCGUCUGGAAAGGCGCGCGAUACAGGGUGACAGCCCCGUACACAAAAGCGCAUGUGCUGUGAGCUCGAUGAGUAGGGCGGGACACGUGGUAUCCUGUCUGAAUAUGGGGGGACCAUCCUCCAAGGCUAAAUACUCCUGACUGACCGAUAGUGAACCAGUACCGUGAGGGAAAGGCGAAAAGAACCCCGGCGAGGGGAGUGAAAAAGAACCUGAAACCGUGUACGUACAAGCAGUGGGAGCCCCACCACUAAGCCAGUGGUGAACUCCACAUACGCAUCCUUUGCUGAGGAUACGGUUAACGGAGCGAAAGCGACGUUCAACCGCAAAAGAAGCAGAGGGGGCUUAGUGGUGGGGUGACUGCGUACCUUUUGUAUAAUGGGUCAGCGACUUAUAUUCUGUAGCAAGGUUAACCGAAUAGGGGAGCCGGAGGGAAACCGAGUCUUAAUUGGGCGUUAAGUUGCAGGGUAUAGACCCGAAACCCGGUGAUCUAGCCAUGGGCAGGUUGAAGGUUGGGUAACACUAACUGGAGGACCGAACCGACUAAUGUUGAAAAAUUAGCGGAUGACCUGUGGCUGGGGGUGAAAGGCCAAUCAAACCGGGAGAUAGCUGGUUCUCCCCGAAAGCUAUUUAGGUAGCGCCUCGUGAAUUCAUCUCCGGGGGUAGAGCACUGUUUCGGCUAGGGGGCCAUCCCGGCUUACCAACCCGAUGCAAACUGCGAAUACCGGAGAAUGUUAUCACGGGAGACACACGGCGGGUGCUAACGUCCGUCGUGAAGAGGGAAACAACCCAGACCGCCAGCUAAGGUCCCAAAGUCAUGGUUAAGUGGGAAACGAUGUGGGAAGGCCCAGACAGCCAGGAUGUUGGCUUAGAAGCAGCCAUCAUUUAAAGAAAGCGUAAUAGCUCACUGGUCGAGUCGGCCUGCGCGGAAGAUGUAACGGGGCUAAACCAUGCACCGAAGCUGCGGCAGCGACACUGUGUGUUGUUGGGUAGGGGAGCGUUCUGUAAGCCUGUGAAGGUGUGUCGUGAGGCAUGCUGGAGGUAUCAGAAGUGCGAAUGCUGACAUAAGUAACGAUAAAGCGGGUGAAAAGCCCGCUCGCCGGAAGACCAAGGGUUCCUGUCCAACGUUAAUCGGGGCAGGGUGAGUCGACCCCUAAGGCGAGGCCGAAAGGCGUAGUCGAUGGGAAACGGGUUAAUAUUCCCGUACUUGGUGUUACUGCGAAGGGGGGACGGAGAAGGCUAUGUUGGCCGGGCGACGGUUGUCCCGGUUUAAGCGUGUAGGUGUGUGUUCCAGGUAAAUCCGGUUCACUUUAACACUGAGGCGUGACGACGAGGCACUACGGUGCUGAAGCAACAAAUGCCCUGCUUCCAGGAAAAGCCUCUAAGCAUCAGGUAACAUCAAAUCGUACCCCAAACCGACACAGGUGGUCAGGUAGAGAAUACCAAGGCGCUUGAGAGAACUCGGGUGAAGGAACUAGGCAAAAUGGUGCCGUAACUUCGGGAGAAGGCACGCUGACACGUAGGUGAAGUGAUUUACUCAUGGAGCUGAAGUCAGUCGAAGAUACCAGCUGGCUGCAACUGUUUAUUAAAAACACAGCACUGUGCAAACACGAAAGUGGACGUAUACGGUGUGACGCCUGCCCGGUGCCGGAAGGUUAAUUGAUGGGGUCAGCGCAAGCGAAGCUCCUGAUCGAAGCCCCGGUAAACGGCGGCCGUAACUAUAACGGUCCUAAGGUAGCGAAAUUCCUUGUCGGGUAAGUUCCGACCUGCACGAAUGGCGUAAUGAUGGCCAGGCUGUCUCCACCCGAGACUCAGUGAAAUUGAACUCGCUGUGAAGAUGCAGUGUACCCGCGGCAAGACGGAAAGACCCCGUGAACCUUUACUAUAGCUUGACACUGAACAUUGAGCCUUGAUGUGUAGGAUAGGUGGGAGGCUUUGAAGUGUGGACGCCAGUCUGCAUGGAGCCGACCUUGAAAUACCACCCUUUAAUGUUUGAUGUUCUAACGUGGACCCGUUACCCGGGUUGCGGACAGUGUCUGGUGGGUAGUUUGACUGGGGCGGUCUCCUCCUAAAGAGUAACGGAGGAGCACGAAGGUUGGCUAAUCCUGGUCGGACAUCAGGAGGUUAGUGCAAUGGCAUAAGCCAGCUUGACUGCGAGCGUGACGGCGCGAGCAGGUGCGAAAGCAGGUCAUAGUGAUCCGGUGGUUCUGAAUGGAAGGGCCAUCGCUCAACGGAUAAAAGGUACUCCGGGGAUAACAGGCUGAUACCGCCCAAGAGUUCAUAUCGACGGCGGUGUUUGGCACCUCGAUGUCGGCUCAUCACAUCCUGGGGCUGAAGUAGGUCCCAAGGGUAUGGCUGUUCGCCAUUUAAAGUGGUACGCGAGCUGGGUUUAGAACGUCGUGAGACAGUUCGGUCCCUAUCUGCCGUGGGCGCUGGAGAACUGAGGGGGGCUGCUCCUAGUACGAGAGGACCGGAGUGGACGCAUCACUGGUGUUCGGGUUGUCAUGCCAAUGGCACUGCCCGGUAGCUAAAUGCGGAAGAGAUAAGUGCUGAAAGCAUCUAAGCACGAAACUUGCCCCGAGAUGAGUUCUCCCUGAGACUUAGAGUCUCCUGAAGGAACGUUGAAGACGACGACGUUGAUAGGCCGGGUGUGUAAGCGCAGCGAUGCGUUGAGCUAACCGGUACUAAUGAACCGUGAGGCUUAACCUU